RNAcentral lists this unclassified non-coding RNA (386 nucleotides) under fungal sp. RNAcentral's name for it is "partial internal transcribed spacer region". The stretch from base 1 to 46 matches the Rfam family "Eukaryotic small subunit ribosomal RNA", at positions 1786 to 1831 of the family's 1831-position model. Lineage: Eukaryota; Fungi. The record is from RNAcentral.
AAGUCGUAACAAGGUUUCCGUAGGUGAACCUGCGGAAGGAUCAUUAACACGUAUCCACGUAUCAACCAAUGAGAACCUGUUUUCCCGUCUCCCUGUGCAAAGAAUGAAUUGGAACCAGUUUGAGGGAGUGAUGGGACCGAAAGGUCGGCCUUCCUGGUAUACUUACGUCGACAGAAAUGUUUGCGUAGACAAUUGUAUUUUUGUUACAGGCUAUUUCUUAUCGCUUUGAUCCCCAUCAUGAUCGUGGCGGUAGGGAAACUUUCACUAAAUUUACCUUUUUUGCUAGUUGACUUUUUAUAUGUGUUGUCUUGCGAAAGCAUGGUGGCACACGUUUAUUAAUUGAACGUUAAAAAAUACAACUCUUAGCAAUGGAUAUCUUGGUUCUC